Molecule: ribosomal RNA, 253 nt
Filed under: uncultured prokaryote
Description: partial 16S ribosomal RNA
Rfam family: Bacterial small subunit ribosomal RNA
Source: RNAcentral
ACGAAGGGUGCAAGCGUUACUCGGAAUUACUGGGCGUAAAGCGUGCGUAGGUGGUUCGUUAAGUCUGAUGUGAAAGCCCUGGGCUCAACCUGGGAAUGGCAUUGGAUACUGGCGACCUAGAGUGCGGUAGAGGGUAGCGGAAUUCCCGGUGUAGCGGUGAAAUGCGCAGAUAUCGGGAAGAACACCCGUGGCGAAGGCGGCUCUCUGGGACGGUACUGACGCUGAGACGCGAAAGCGUGGGGAGCGAACAGGA